AGUGAACGCUGGCGGUAGGCCUAACACAUGCGAGUCGAACGGCAGCACAGUAAGAGCUUGCUCUUACGGGUGGCGAGUGGCGGACGGGUGAGGAAUACAUCGGAAUCUACUUUUUCGUGGGGGAUAACGUAGGGAAACUUACGCUAAUACCGCAUACGACCUACGGGUGAAAGCAGGGGAUCUUCGGACCUUGCGCGAUUGAAUGAGCCGAUGUCGGAUUAGCUAGUUGGCGGGGUAAAGGCCCACAAAGGCGACGAUCCGUAGCUGGUCUGAGAGGAUGAUCAGCCACACUGGAACUGAGACACGGUCCAGACUCCUACGGGAGGCAGCAGUGGGGAAUAUUGGACAAUGGGCGCAAGCCUGAUCCAGCCAUACCGCGUGGGUGAAGAAGGCCUUCGGGUUGUAAAGCCCUUUUGUUGGGAAAGAAAAGCAGCAGGUUAAUACCCCGCUGUUCUGACGGUACCCAAAGAAUAAGCACCGGCUAACUUCGUG
RNAcentral lists this ribosomal RNA (492 nucleotides) under uncultured bacterium. RNAcentral's name for it is "partial 16S ribosomal RNA". It matches the Rfam family "Bacterial small subunit ribosomal RNA", at positions 29 to 507 of the family's 1533-position model. The record is from RNAcentral.